CAGGGUUAAUAACCAGAUAAAAUCGAUGAUGGAUUAUAAUGAUGGUAAUAAUCUUAUACCUAGACGAAUUAUGAUGAUGAUGAUCGACUGUGUCUGAUCGAAUUUUUAACGUCUGUGGCUAGAACGAGAAUUAGGUACUGACAAUAGUAUAAUGUGUUUCUAUUUGUUUUAUGUUCCAACGCUGGUAAUAUGGCUGAUCGGAUGAAAUUGAUGAUUUGGAAGAGCCUCGCUGCAAGAGCACACUGAUGUAAAGAAGGUUAAAUCUGAUAGAUGGUGGAGCCACUGCCAGCGGACCGAGUGCCAAGCUGCUGGUGAUCAGGGUCGCAGAGUCGCCGUACUGCAGUGCCGUGUACUUACACGAUAAGGAAGCGAAUCUCUCUAUAUGUGCAUUGAUUGAGAGUGUCGAGAUUCAAUGUAAUAAGAUUAAUAGCUGGCACGACUAUACUAGUCUUUAUAUACAUAUUGUAAAAUCUUAAUUGAGUGCCGAGUUAUGGCAGUGUGUAGUCUAGACCAGGCCAUGAUAGUAGGUAAAACAAACAAAGCUAUGUAUAGAUUGUGACUUAUGUCGAUUCGAAGAUUCUUGUAAUGUAAGCUUGUUGCGUGAAUCAAAUUUUAAACAAAAUAUUGAUAGGUAAAUUUAUGUUGGAAAACUGCUCAGAACAGGCCUUAAAGGCAGACUGUCUGGGGCAGGCCCUGAUUGUUGAUGAUGAUAUUAUUUGCCAUAACAAACAUAUAAGAUUGAAAAGGUUAAUACCUUUUGAUUGAUUGAUUAUGAUGAAUGAAGGAGCAGACUGUCUGGAACAGGUCCUGACUGGGUUGGGCCUAACAUUCUAGAGCAGGCCGUGAAGGCAGACUGUCUAGAACAGGCUAGGAUACCAGUUUGGCAUUCUAGAGCAGGCCGUUAUGGCAGACUGUCUAGACCACACCAGUCUAGAGCAGGCCAUACCAAAUUAUAAAAUUAUAUUGAUUGAUUAGGUUGAAUGAAGUAGCAGACUGUCUGGAACAGGUUUGGGUAGUAGCCUGACAUUCUAGAGCAGGCCGUGAAGGCAGACUGUCUAGAACAGGCUAUAAUACCAUCUUGACACUCUAGAGCAGGCCGAUAUGGCAGACUGUCUAGGCCACACCAGUCUAGAGCAGGCCAUAAUUUAAUUGAUUGAUCGGCAGACCGCCUUGAUUAGUCAAGAACGGGCCAUAACAAAUUAUAUUUUGUUGAUGAAAAGAGCAGGCCUUAAAGGCAGACUGCGGAUGUUUAUGGCAUAAUAUCUCUUAUUAAUAUGUUCAAAACAAGCCUUUAGGUUGACUGUUAAUGAUAUAUACUUUGUUAAUAUAAUUAGAACAGGCUUGUAAGCAGACUGAUUAUUAGUGAUAUAAUAUACUUUAUUAAUAUGAUAAGAGCAGGCCUAGUCUAGUAGGCAGACUGUGAUGUUAAUUAGAAAAUAUACUUUUGCUAAUAUGUUAUACUUUGGAACCGGCCUUGAAGGCAGACUGAGAUAGUUAAUGAUAUAAUAUAAAAACCUCGAUAAUAUGAUUAGAAUUGACUUUGUAAGCUGAAUGUGACUAUUAAUGAUAUAUUAUACUUAGUCAAUACUUAAAUAACAAGCCUAGUAGGCAGAGAUUGAUAAUGAUGUUUUAUAUACUUUGAUAAAA
This 1647-nucleotide long non-coding RNA is filed under the name Leguminivora glycinivorella. Its description in RNAcentral is "uncharacterized LOC125241848". Lineage: Eukaryota; Metazoa; Arthropoda; Insecta; Lepidoptera; Tortricidae. The record is from RNAcentral.